CAGAUCGCCGCUCCAGGCGGCCGGGCCGGCGCCCGGCGCAGCGACACCGGCCGCAGCGGCGCCGGCCAGCGCGAGGC
RNAcentral lists this transfer RNA (77 nucleotides) under Methylibium petroleiphilum PM1. RNAcentral describes it as "tRNA-Gln". Lineage: Bacteria; Pseudomonadati; Pseudomonadota; Betaproteobacteria; Burkholderiales; Sphaerotilaceae. The record is from RNAcentral.